Drosophila montana is the source of this 1169-nucleotide long non-coding RNA. RefSeq lists it as uncharacterized. The transcript has 4 exons. Lineage: Eukaryota; Metazoa; Arthropoda; Insecta; Diptera; Drosophilidae. The record is from RefSeq and is a predicted model, not a curated record.
GCAAAACAGACUCACACAACACUAUUCAAAAUGAACCACAUAAUCGAUAACAAAUAUUCGGAACUGCUAACUCAUGAACAAAAUAAACAGCUGUAACAACAAUGAAAAUGUAAACAACAAAGAUCGGGCCCCGGUUCCGGACCCAGCGUACCCGCCCUACCAUGAGACGAUCACCUGCACUCGUCUCCCUCAUUUUGGCCACUAGAUGGCCUGCAUUAGCCCGUGUCGGCCAUCAUGCCCACUCUCCCCAACAAUAUGAAUUUAGCCGGACAUUCUUUUCUUUCAAUAUGUGCGUAUAAUUGGUUGCGUUUUCUUAAAAUUUAUAACAAUUAAUAUCAUCGCUUACGGCAUUUAUCUUAGCAGCUAUUUACAAUCUCAUGCAAGUGGAUAAUUUCGUUAACUUCGCAGGUGCGUAUAAUUGUUUGUGUAUUCUUAUAAUUAUUGGCAGUUAAUAUUUCUUUUAUUUCUUUAUAAUUUGCAAUUUAUUACUUUCCAUUCAGCUAUUUAUUACUUCAUGCCAGCUGACUUUUCAUACACUUCAACAAAGUACAUUAGUUAACAAUAUUGGACAGAACAUGCGAUGAAAAUACGGCCAGAGGUCAUGGCUAAUCGCCGCCAAAAAAAAAAACAAGAAAGCAAUUAUAAGGCAAUCGUUGCACCGAUUCAGGAACAGUGUACCCACGCAAAUACUUAUAACACGAAAAUCAGUCGUGCAGCAGGGGGUGGUAAGGGGCAAUAGAAAGGGGUAAUUCAAGUUAGUUAUGUAUUUGGGUAUUGUUCGCGCAACUUCAACAUUUUAAGUUUUAUAUUUUAUAGGCGCAUAUGCAUAACCUUUGGAGUUUUUUCCUCACUGUUCGGACUCUCAAGUGAACUUGGCGUGUCUCGAGCAAGAGUCUGACUCUGCCGGCUGUUCGGUGCGAGGAAGGACGACUUAGAACGGACUCACUCAGAUGAUGUGGGCGUGGUCUCGCCGGUGGCCGCUUCUUCGCUGUUGGAGCCCCGUCUUGGGCGUCUCGUCUUGCCGUCUUGAGGGUGGCGCCGAGGCUCGGCCGCGCUCAGGUGCCCUCCGGCGUGACUCCUUGGCUGGCACUUCGAUGCUUAUUAUUUUUAUUUUAUUUUCAUUUUGUUAUCUUCGUCGAAUAAAAUGAGCGUAUAUUUUUAUUGGCGCA